UUUUUUUUUUUUUUAUUAAAGUAACAGGUAUUUCAAGUCUACCUAAUUACUUUGGUGGGAGAUGGAAUAUAUAUCAGUUUUUAGGGAAAGAUGGAAGCCUUAACCAUUUUGGUUUUUGCCACUUUCCUUAGAGUGCAGACAUUUUCUUAUUAGUUGGAUUUUCAUGCCACAUACAACCAAGCGGCAAGGUGUUAAACCAUUCUGCUGCUCUGCCUUAUUUAUAGCCAUGACCCAUUCUUUCCCCCCUCUUACAGUUAAUAGAAAGAUUCAUGAUUCUUCAUGGUUGUCUAUCUAGUGUCUGACAGUCCCGACUGCCUGCUAAAGCAAGUCACUAUCUAUAAUUGAUAUCCUGCCGUGGAAUAGGGUGCUGGCUGCAAUUGAAGGGCUUUGCUGAAAGCCCUUAAAUCCUGACAAGUUCUCCCCUUGUUCUGCUUCAGUCGCUGAGCUGCAAGGUUGGAAUUCCAGAGCUAUUUGAAGUUGGUGCAAAAGAGAGACAUGUGUUUCACAUUAGCAAAUCGCAAAGUUGAAGAAGGGAAUUAGGAACUGGCUGACUUUCCCUGCCAGUAGUCUCCCUUCUAGUGCAGUGCAUGCCGUGUUCUAGGGGGAAGAUUACCUCCUCUAUUACAGUCUGAGCAGAUACGCAGAACAUGGCCUUUCCUCCUCUUCCCUUUUAUUUAAAGCCCCUUUCCUUUCCCAAAUGGAUGUUAUUCUAGAUGGGCUGCAGCCAGGAUCUGUUAUCACAGUGGUUCAUAAUUAACUUUAUUUCACAGCAAGGUAAUUAUAGCUGGGCCGAGUCGCUCUUAAGUUAGUAUUAAAUUUUCAACAAAUUUACUUUUUUUACCAGAAACUAGGAAAAUGUACAUGUAUUUCACCAGGAUUUUGUUAUAUUUUGACUCUUUCUUGGUACUGGUUAAAAUAGAAAGCAACAAAAGCACAAGAAGAAUAUGUAGUAAAAAGUUAAUUACAAGUACUUUUGAUUGAUUGAUUGAUUGAUUGAUUGAAUUUCUGAUAAAUUUGUCAAGAUCCAAACCUGAUUUCUGAAAGACACAUAUUGUGAUGUUUCAGGGUAAGCUGCAAUCCCACAUUUCUGGUCAGCUUUGAAGUUGCCAGAUUCUGCUGUUGUGCGUUACGUUACAGAGGGCCUGUGUGUAAAUGUGCUUCCGAAGUUGGGCUGUGUCCGUUCCCAGAGUAUUCGCCCCAACCUUUACUGUUUCUUACUUAACUCAGCCUGUGUCAUGGAAAGAGGCGCCACCCACCUUCUAGACCUUGCUCAGCUCAGCUUCUUUCUUCGAAUUUUGUCCUAAAAGUGACUCUACCCUUGACUUUUGGUAGUGGAGACAAUUGAAAUCCUCAUAGCGUGAAGCUCAAGGUUGUCUUGUAUUCUCUGAAGCCUGAAGGAUUCGGGGGUCAGUGACACUGGGUUUAUGUCACAGUGUACAUUUUAGAGUGGCACUGCUCCCCUGGCUCCCUGAGCUUGUAAGCAUCAUUGUUGAAAUCUGAAAGAAGAAAAUCAGAGCAGUCAAUGUUCACCUUGUCCAGCUUCAAGUAUGACACUGUCACUCUUCAACAGAUCCACAAACUCUUAAAACACUGCCUUUAAACAAAUCUCCCGUAGUCUUGUUUAGUGAUUAAUACAUACAAGAUCUUUCCCAACAGUCUACAGAAAGUAGAAAUAGUUCUUAGCAGUUUUGUUCUCCAACGUAAUUUCUAGGAACACGCCCCAGGAUGGUGGUGCCUUGGCAACGACAGACGGUCACGGUAUCUUAAAACUGAACUUCAGGCAGGAAAUGGGUUUAUAAUAACAUCUGACUUCAGCUGGGUGGCAUUUCAGUAAAUGUAAUCCUCGGUCUGCAUCUUUAAAGCAUGGUGUCACUUUUUUUUUUCUUUUUGAAGAAUGAUUAGCCACCUACCUGGAUUACAAAUGCUUUUAUAUGCUGCAAAUUUUGAUCUUCAAAAGCAUGCUAAAGUUCUCUCCUAAUCACUUUUGCUGCUGAUUAGAAACAAAUUCUGUACAUUUGCAGCAUAAAAAUCAAGAGCUUUCAUUUUAAUAUCAGAGGUUCAGGUGUAUAAUUGUAUCUAUAAACACACAGGAGCGUUUGAUGUGAAUAUAUUGUUUUCAUAGUAAAUCCCUAAUCCUAAACUUGCAUGUCAUGUCCCUUGUCUAACUUUUACCACUGUACUAAGUUGCAUUGAACAUCUUUACCUAAUAGAAAAUUGGGUUUAAGAUGUGAGAAUGGUCUCAGACGUGAGGCAGGGAUGGAUUGGUUUCAUAUCUAAAAUCUAAAAUGAGCAAGUCGAGAUUUUGAUCUUAUUUCCUUCUACCUGUAGUUGCUAAUUCAUUUUCCUAUUCUAAUAUUUGGAAAUGAGGCAUGUAAAAUAUAGAAUAAAAACGACAAACUUCAAAGUCACUCUACAAUGAUUUUUGCCCUAAGGGUCGUGUCUUUUUGUGAAGUUCUUAUCUAAAUUUCACCUGCAGAAAGCAUUUACAUCGAAAUGUAUCUAAGAGAUUGUGCUGACGGGGCAAGGAAUGAGGGUUGUGUGUGUUAAAGCAACCCAGAGCCUCAACUAGAUUCUGAGUAGCAGCCUCACCCCAGCCCUGAUUCAGAAUGCUGUCCCAGACACCACUUGACCCUUUCAGACAUUAUUUUCUCACUUAUCAGAGUGUGAAAGAGUCGUGAAAAUAAAUACUGUCCCAGAUGUCCAAGGCCAAGCAGAGAUCACAUUCAGUGGACCCUGUGGGAAACAGACAUCGAGUCUAAAUGAGGCAAUUCCACCUCUUGUGUGUUUUUUUGAAGGCUGAGUUGGGGAGGACGGAGCGACGAAUCUGUUGGUCUUGGGGUUCCUGUGUCCAUUCUAAGGCUCUUCUUAUAUUAGUUGUUGCUAGACUUGGACUAUAUGAGCUAGGGAGUGCCACACCCUGCUCAGUCCCAGCACCGGCAUGGGCUCAUUAAACAGGCCACUUGGACUCUUAAAAACUGAUCCACCCUGUUGGGAGAUAUAGCUACAACAACAUGAAACUGUUAGCUUCACGUAUCGUAAAAAUUGCCUUCAAUAUAAUGUUAGUGAUUCUUCUUAUAAAAGAGAAAAAUAUAGUGCUAUUUCAAGGUUGUUAUAGCAGUGAAGCCUGCUUUAGAUUGCUCUUAGGUGGUCUCCAAGUAGGGAUACCAGCAUGAAAUUAGGAUCUAAAAGUUGUGGAACCAACCCCCAGUUCCCAAAGCCGCCUCUGAGAAGCUGAAUGGGCUUAGGCCCUACUUCUUAGUACCUUGUACUGCUAACCUUUAGAGGCUCUCUGUGGGUUCCAGGGGUCUGGAAUGCUCUCAAAGACUCUCCUUAAGGUACAGCAAUCAGUGUCUGCCGCAGACACUGUCCUACAUGCUGUAAGAUGUUGAAAAGCAUUCUUCCCACUGAAUGCCUGUAACACCUCAUCCCCCAACUAGGAUAACCAGAAUUUUCUAUAUAUAUUAUCAGCUGUACCCUGAAACACAAAGUGGCCGCUAUUUGUACCCUUCCCCUUACAGUGUUGAUAAAAGUUAUUCCUACUUUGGAAUGUUCGGAUUAAACAGGAAGGAUGGCUGACUUGUUGUUUGUUUUUGUUUUUUAAUCUCUG
This 3607-nucleotide long non-coding RNA is filed under the name Mus musculus (house mouse). RNAcentral describes it as "long non-coding RNA chr13:15664514-15668121". The record is from RNAcentral. Lineage: Eukaryota; Metazoa; Chordata; Mammalia; Rodentia; Muridae.